GGGUAUGGCUCAGUGGUAAUGCAUGUGCUUAGCAUGCAGGAGGUCCUGGGUUCAAUCCCCAGUAUAUCCA
Molecule: transfer RNA, 70 nt
Filed under: Camelus bactrianus (Bactrian camel)
Lineage: Eukaryota; Metazoa; Chordata; Mammalia; Artiodactyla; Camelidae
Also listed under: 3 other names
Rfam family: tRNA
About the family: Transfer RNA (tRNA) molecules are approximately 80 nucleotides in length.
Source: Rfam by way of RNAcentral